Molecule: ribosomal RNA, 433 nt
Filed under: uncultured bacterium
Lineage: Bacteria
Description: partial 16S ribosomal RNA
Rfam family: Bacterial small subunit ribosomal RNA
Source: RNAcentral
AACGAACGCUGGCGGCAUGCCUAACACAUGCAAGUCGAACGAGACCUUCGGGUCUAGUGGCGCACGGGUGCGUAACGCGUGGGAACCUGCCCUUAGGUUCGGAAUCACUCCCCGAAAGGGGUGCUAAUACCGGAUAAUGUCUUCGGCCCAAAGAUUUAUCGCCUUUGGAUGGGCCCGCGUUGGAUUAGCUAGUUGGUAGGGUAAAAGCCUACCAAGGCGACGAUCCAUAGCUUGUCGGAGAGGAUGAUCAGCCACACUGGGACUGAGACACGGCCCAGACUCCUACGGAAGGGAGCAGUGGGGAAUAUUGCACAAUGGGCGGAAGCCUGAUCCAGCAAUGCCGCGUGAGUGAUGAAGGCCUUAGGGUUGUAAAUCUCUUUUACCCGGGAUGAUAAUGACAGUACCGGGAGAAUAAGCUCCGGCUAACUCCGUG